GAUCAGGGUCUUGGUCGGAUACACACAAAAUCCAUGCUCAAAUUCAAAUCUGUCAGAUUUUCGUCUUUUAUAUCCAUACUCAAAAUUAUAUUCGUUUAACAUCAGAUAAAUUCACCCAGUUCAAUAUAUAUAUAUAUAUAUAUAUAUAUGAGUUGAGCUAUGAUACUUUUACAAGUAUCACCAUCAUGGUGCUAUUAGGUUUUAAGCCAUUGGAUCUACUUUUUUAUUAUUAAUAGCCCUUGGAUUAAACACUAUUACACCUACCACCACCUACCACCACCUAUCACCAUCAUCUCAACCUCACAUCUCUCCAUCCAAGGGCUAAAAACACACAAGUAUCACCCCCAUGAUACUUUUACAAAUAUUCUANUAUAUAUAUAUAUAUAUAUAUAUAUAUAUAUAUAUAUAUAUAUCCUAGGGUUUAUUUGUUUAGAUGAAAGUGGAGAGGGGUGAAGUUAUUUUCGACACUAAACGGUCACUUUUAUUAUUUAAUUCGUCAUAAAAAAGAUACAGUCGAAACUCGAGUUAUCCAAAACAGCAUAACUGACUUCUGGCCACUUCGAGCCAAAGUCAAUUACGGUAAAGAGAGUUGAAAAAAUAAUAAAAUAAUAUAAUAGAUAAUGCUAGCUAUGUUUAAAUAUAUUUAAUCAUGAUUCUAAUUACUUUUUUAUUUGUUUACAUAUUUAAAAUGUGAUGGAAAUUGAUUACUUAAAUUUUAGCGCUUCUUUUAAUUAGUUUGUACAUUUAAUAUAUGAUGAAAAUUGAUCACUUGAAUAUUAAUAUUUCUUUUACUCUAUAAUUUUAUAGUUGUAUUAUUAUAAGUUUAUAUAAAAAAAUAAUUUAGUUAUUAUAGAUUAUAUUUUUUUAUUAUAUAGAAAUACAAUUAUAUUAUUUUUUAUUUAUUAUAUUAUAAUUUAUUAUUUAUCAAGUUAUUUAUUAGUUAUGUAAUUAUAAUUUUAUAUUAUUCAUUUGCUAUCACACAAACAAAAGAUAUGAAGAAACUACACUUUUAUAGCUAUAUAAACAAACAGGGGGGAGAAAUAAUUUUUACUCGAAUUCUAUUUCAAUCCAAAUUUCACUUCCAUCAAAUAUCCGCUUUCAGUGAAACAAACCGGCCCCUAAUAUAGAAGAAGUUUUGGAAUUGGCAUCCGAAUAAAAAAUGGAAUUAGAUUAUAUUGAAAUAAAAAGCGACAUGAUGAAUCAUCCAAAAAAACAUAGUUCAUUAGUAAAAUGAAAAUGGAAGCGAAUAAUUAAGACAUCUAGGAUUUUGAGAGGGGGUUUGGGUCAUGAGAGAAAAAGGGUGAUAAACAAAAUUAAGGGGGAGGUAUUUGUCGCAAAAGAUUUUUAAGUGGUUUAUUCUGAAAUGAGUUAACUUAGAUUCAAAACAGGAUCAUUCUCAUUUUAGAGUGGAACUAUAAUUAAAAUCUGAUUCAUAUAAAACAAACAAUAAAUAUCAGGAUCAUUAAAUAUUAUUCCAAUUUUAAAGUCUAAAAUAAGUUAACCAAAACAAGCUCUAUUUAUUUUUCUAAUAUAGCAUUCAAUCGAGCAACAUUACAUCUUUCAACAAGCUCAAACACAAUAAAGGUUAUUUGACCUAGUAUCAAUUGGAAAAUAUUAUUUUUAAUUUCAUAUAGGUACCUACAAACAUAGUGAAUUACAAAUAUAUCCCUACAAAGUUCAACUUUUAUAUGUUGUCCCUGGAAAAGUCCUGAUAUUUUCAAGUAUGUCCCUGUCAUUAGAAUCCGUUAGAAAAAAUUAGUUAAUCAUAGAUAAAAUACUUAAUCUUAAUUAGUUAAUGAGCUGAAUUGACCUUUUUAUCCUUUUUUAAUUAAUAGUUGGAAUUUUUAGAGGGAUAUAUUUGUGAUGCGAAAAAGAUCAUUUCACUUAUAAAAUAAAUAAUAUUUUAAUGGUAACAAACGAGAGGGAUAUAUUUGAAAAUAUUAGUACUUUUAUAGAGACAACAUAUGAAAGCUGAAUUUUGUAGGAAUAUAUUUAUAAUUUACUAUGUUUGCAGGGAGUUGCAUAAAAUUAAUCCUAUUUUUAAAGUUCAAAAUAGAAUUUUUUUUAUGUUUUUAAUAGUAAGAAAUAAAAUUAGAAGUUGGCCAAACAACCACCAUUAACAAAUUUACAUGUCAUUUUCUAUUCCAAAAAGUUUUCUUUUCUCUUGAUAAUCAUUAUUACUAGUGUAGAGAUCGGCGCGAUGCAGCGGGUAAAUAAUAGAAGCAAAAUUUUAAAAUUUUAAUAAAAUUUAUAUUUACAGCUUAUUGAUGUAUAGGAAGCUAUAUCAUGUUAAGUACAGUCAAUUUGAAUGACUAAAUUCAACUGUUAAAAAAAUAAAAUUAUAGUUAGAAGUUUAUAUAAUUUUUUAAUAUCAUCAAAAUACAGUAAGAGACAUACAAUUUUAUCGUAUUAUAUGCCUCUUGAACAUUCCGUUGUGAAAAAUAAAAAAGAGCUAGCUCCAAUGCAGCUCAAUCAACCCAACGAGCACUUAUAUGGGCCGCGGCUUGGCUUUGUGGGACGAUACUUUUCGAAGAAGACACGUUCUUUGCAUAUUCUUCUUCUUCAUCAUCGUCCUCAUCAUUUUCAUUAACACAAUGAGAGAGAGAGCUGCAUGAGUGUGGGGAGGGAGAUUAGAUGAUGAUGUUUUUUUUGGCAUGAAAAAUAACAUACCAUGCAAAAGAGAGGGGGCCCGGGGGAUUAAUAGAGGUGGGGAGGAUUGGAGUUACAAAGCCCAUUCAUUGGUGGCAUAUGGUGCAUAUAAUUAAAUGUUGCAUUUUGGAUUAAUUAAUUCUUGUGAUUUCAAAGGAUUGGGAGGUUUGAGGGAGAAGAAAAAAAAAAGUAAGGUAUAAAUUAAAGAGUACAUUGAUUAGAGGUUAUUGAAUAGAGAGGAGGGGAGGGGAAAAGCCAAGGUCAUUGAAUAGUAGAUGAGGUUGAAAGAAAACUUGCCAAGGAGGGGAAGAGAAAAGCCAAAGUCAUUGAAUAGAAGGUGAGGUUGAAAGAAAACUUGCCACGUGGCAAAAACAUUGGGAAUUCAUAUAUGCUAAUAGAUUAUUAUUUCCAUUAUUUAACAACUCUCGUAUUGUCACCAACAUGUUUUAAACCUUGCCAUAUCCGUAACGGACAUAAGCAUAUAAUAUCAUCCUAACUACUGGGUCCACCUGACACCUUGGCGUGCAAAAUCUAGUUAAUUGAAGGGCUUAUCCGCAAAAUAUGAGAGCAUAUUGUCACGGACUUAGCGCUUUUGUUCGCGAAGCCUGUGCGGCGCCCACUUUUUUUCUCAGAGAUGAACAAGCCUUUGUUCCUGUUACUAGCUCGAACCUUUGUGUCCUACGACUAAAUAUACAAAGAGAAGAAACGAGAAAGAGAGGCAGAGGUUCACUUAAAAAAAUUAAGUACUCCACUACUUGGAAAAAGGGAUUACAGCAUACAUACACACUCCCUCUUGUGUUUCCACCUCUCUUCUUUCUCUACUUUGGCCAUAGCCAUCUCUACAAUUUAUAGGCUCCUAAAUACAUUAAUUUAGCCUACACUAAUUCACUCAUUAAGGCACACAUUAACUCACUCACUAUUACAUGAUAAUGAGCUUUCAUGAAUGCCCAGUGAUCCCAAAAGUUACCCAUAC
Molecule: long non-coding RNA, 3622 nt
Filed under: Ananas comosus (pineapple)
Lineage: Eukaryota; Viridiplantae; Streptophyta; Magnoliopsida; Poales; Bromeliaceae
Description: long non-coding RNA (ACOM_LNC025588)
Source: RNAcentral